Molecule: ribosomal RNA, 273 nt
Filed under: unidentified marine bacterioplankton
Lineage: Bacteria
Also listed under: 1 other name
Description: partial 16S ribosomal RNA
Rfam family: Bacterial small subunit ribosomal RNA
Source: RNAcentral
AGGGGUAGAAUGUCUUCGGAUGUUUGAGACCGGCGCACGGGUGCGUAACGCGUAUGCAACCUACCUCUUACUGGGGAAUAGCCCGAAGAAAUUCGGAUUAAUGCCCCAUAUGCUCGUACGGCCUCAUGGUCGAGCGAGGAAAGCUCCGGCGGUAAGAGAUGGGCAUGCGUCCUAUUAGCUUGUUGGUGAGGUAAUGGCUCACCAAGGCUACGAUAGGUAGGGGGCCUGAGAGGGUGACCCCCCACACUGGUACUGAGACACGGACCAGACUCC